CGAAGGGCCGACGGGGGCGGGGAAAGGACCAGCGGGCGGGGCAACGGUCUGACUGGGGCGUGGCGAGGAGAGGGUGGGCGUGGGGGUUGGUGCGGGUUGGCGAAGGGUGGAGGCAUGUCAGGCCCCGGCCACGCCCCUGCCGGUUUGGGCGGGAGCCGCCCCGGGACCAACUGCCCUCGUUGCUCACACCAAGGAGGCCUUGGCUAGCUCAGCCGGACCCCAAAGCCUGGACCGGGUCUCCACCUCCCCCCCACCCCCGUGCCCACGCCCUCCAUGCCGGCCUCGCCCGGGAGCAGAUCACUGCUGCCUCGCCCCCGCGGCCCACUCGCCCAGCGGGGCGCCUUAUCCGAGAGCCCUCCGGGCCUCAGCUUUAUCACCCGGCACCACCCGGCGUGGUUCUAACCCCGCGCCUUUGCGCUGCGCUGCACACCAGCUUUUUUUUUCUAAGACAGGAUCUCCCUGAGUUGCUCAGCUGCCCAGCCUGGGCUCGAACCUGCAGUCCAGCGCGGAGGCCUGGCCAACCCCUGACUUCCCGUGGCUGGGCCCAGGGUGUCAGCAGAGUCAGCUUCCAGGGAAUCCGACCUCUGGUCUCCCGCCCGAGUCCAGGGCCUUCCUGAGACUCCAGUCUUCGUGCCGAUGUCCCCAGGGCUGUGGUCCCACUGUGGCUGACUCCUUCUCUCCCGGGUCUCAGCCCAAAGCCCACUCCUCAGAAAAAUCCUUCAGUGUUUAGUCUGCUGUACACUUGAGCUCCAGCCCUCUCGAUGGCAAGUCACCCACUCUGUCUGCAGGUUCCUGGAGGGAGACGCUGGUCUCUCCUCUCUCACAACCAGGCGGGUACUCGGGAUUGCUGUGGUCCUAGUGAUGUUGGCAGUCCUUGGAAAGGGGGAGUCACUUUGCUGAGGCCUUGGCCGGCCUGGGCCUGACGCCACCCCCUCCUUUGGCCCCAGCUUGCCCUGGCCAUCUUACCCGGGCCACUUGUCCUCAAGGUCCAGAUGUGCGUGGUGUUGACCUCAGAGAGCCCAAGGCCGGGCCCAGGGCCACAGUGCCAAUGCCACGUGGGUGCCUGACAAGCGCGAGGGCAGAGAUGAAAGGGGGUUGGACGCACGUGGCCAGCCUCGGGACCUUGGUGGGGACAGCGGCCGAGGGAGGGAGAUACGGGUGCCGUCACCCAGAGAAGUCUUGAGAGGCGGCCACAGGAGAAGGGACAGAGUGACCACACUAGGGGUCGAGGGUCCUGCGAAAACCAGCUCGGAGGAUGGCUGCUCGGGAGGCUGAGGCAGGAGGAUUGCAAGUUUGAA
Molecule: long non-coding RNA, 1298 nt
Filed under: Heterocephalus glaber (naked mole-rat)
Lineage: Eukaryota; Metazoa; Chordata; Mammalia; Rodentia; Bathyergidae
Description: lncRNA (ENSHGLG00100042802.1)
Source: RNAcentral